GCAUAUCAAUAAGCGGAGGAAAAGAAACCAACAGGGAUUGCCCCAGUAACGGCGAGUGAAGCGGCAACAGCUCAAAUUUGAAAUCUGGUCCCUAGGGCCCGAGUUGUAAUUUGUAGAGGAUGCUUUUGGUGAGGUGCCGCCCGAGUUCCCUGGAACGGGACGCCACAGAGGGUGAGAGCCCCGUCUGGCUGGCCGCCGAGCCUCUGUAAAGCUCCUUCGACGAGUCGAGUAGUUUGGGAAUGCUGCUCAAAAUGGGAGGUAUAUGUCUUCUAAAGCUAAAUAUUGGCCAGAGACCGAUAGCGCACAAGUAGAGUGAUCGAAAGAUGAAAAGCACCUUGAAAAGAGGGUUAAAUAGUACGUGAAAUUGUUGAAAGGGAAGCGCUUGUGACCAGACUUGGGCGCGGCGGAUCAUCCGGGGUUCUCUCCGGUGCACUUCGCCGCGUCUAGGCCAGCAUCAGUUCGUCGCGGGGGAAAAAGGCUUCGGGAACGUGGCUCCUCCGGGAGUGUUAUAGCCCGUUGCAUAAUACCCUGCGGUGGACUGAGGACCGCGCAUCUGCAAGGAUGCUGGCGUAAUGGUCACCAGCGACCCGU
RNAcentral lists this ribosomal RNA (591 nucleotides) under Trichoderma harzianum. Its description in RNAcentral is "LSU rRNA". It matches the Rfam family "Eukaryotic large subunit ribosomal RNA", at positions 38 to 652 of the family's 3401-position model. Lineage: Eukaryota; Fungi; Ascomycota; Sordariomycetes; Hypocreales; Hypocreaceae. The record is from RNAcentral.